CAAAUUGACAUUCCAGACAAGCGGUGCCUGAGCCCGUGCCUGUCUUCAGAUCUUCACAGCACAGUUCCUGGGAAGGUGGAGCCACCAGCCUCUCCCUGGCUCUGCCGACUUCCAGUUCUGGAACAAGAUGGUUAAACUCAUUUUUCCCUGCUCUGCUCCUCUAAAUACAACUAAGUACCUUGGAAACUAUUCAGCAGACAAUGAUAAAGGGCUCUGAAAGCUAGAAGAAAAGGUGUACUUGCAAGAAACCUCAGGACUUGAGUAACAGCAACAUGGUCCAAAAAAGCCCCAGGCUCAGCCAGAGCAGGGCAGAGGACAGAUGACAGAGGACAGAUGGCCUGCUGCAGUGAGGAACUACUCUCUCUUCUGAGAGCUUCAGAGACCUGCAGAGACAUAGGGACUACCAGCUGCAGAGAGAAGUAACUUUCUCGAGGGCCUCCUUUCUGGUGAGAGCAGCAGAUGUCAGGAUGAUGACCAAUAGCAGAGAGGAGCUACCCUCUCCAGGGCCUCCUCUCUGCUUGAGAGCUGAGCACUCAAUGGGAAGAUCUGCUUACAGAGAAGAUGAUCUGCCUACAGAGAGGAGCUAUGCACUAAGGGUUUCCUCUGAGCUGUUCUAACACUUAGUAAAGCUUUCUUUGUCUUGUU
This 645-nucleotide long non-coding RNA is filed under the name Homo sapiens (human). RNAcentral's name for it is "MIR4435-2 host gene". Lineage: Eukaryota; Metazoa; Chordata; Mammalia; Primates; Hominidae. The record is from RNAcentral.